Octopus sinensis (East Asian common octopus) is the source of this 2177-nucleotide long non-coding RNA. RefSeq lists it as uncharacterized. The record is from RefSeq and is a predicted model, not a curated record. The transcript has 2 exons. Lineage: Eukaryota; Metazoa; Mollusca; Cephalopoda; Octopoda; Octopodidae.
CUUUUCAUUACAUCAAUUUAAAAUGUAGAGCAAUCUUCAGCUGCACACAGAGAUAUAGAAUUUAAUUAACUUAGAACAGAUGGACACAUUAGUAUAAUCAUACCUAAAAUCUCCAAGAAGCUCAGUGCCAAAAUCUAUGGAGAAGUGCAGGUCAGAGGUCCCUCCACCCUUACUUAUCCCUUAGAAACCAAACAGACCAAUUCCCCCUGUCCCAUUUCCCUUCCCUUCUUUUUCUCUCCCCACGACAGACCUUCCAUCCGCUCCCUUUUAAUUCUCCACACAGUGGGAUCAUCUCAGAUUUUCGAUUGUCUUGUCACAGAGACCCCUAAAGGGCCUACGCACACACACCCCUACUUACCAACAGAUGAACACACACAUUCAUGCUCACUGUCCUCCCCCCACCACUCCUGAAUCAAGGAGGGAGUCUCCUACAUGGUUGUUUAACCUGCUAGAAAUAGCAGUCAAAUCCCUAAUCAUUAAGGGCAAAUGUGGGAGGGCAAACAACCUGCUGAUUAAUCUGUGUACCCCUUCCACAUAGCUUAUCUCAUCAGUUUCUGUUCAGUUAACCCAGUAUACCCAUUAUUAACCCACUAAUGUCAGUACUUUAGACCCAACAUGUUAUCCUUGCCCAUGUUCCUUUUCAAGGGGUAAUAUGUUACCCUACCAAUGCCUGUGUAUUUAACCUAGAAAUAUUAAAACUCCAGGGCCUCUACAAAGGGCACAAUUUAUUACCCAAGUCUAGUGUCUUUACAUUUGAUUUAGGGGACAGUAAAUUUUGUUACAUGGGUACACUUUGUGUUACUUACACACCAAUGGUGCCUUUAUAGGGGCACAGUGCAUAUAUUACCCCACCAAUACCUAUGUCAUUAACUCAAAUUAUAUUGCCCCACACUAGUGUCUCUACUGGGAGCACAAUACAUUGCCACCCCACCUGUGCCUUUACAGAGGGAACAAUGUUACCCCACUCAAGUACUUUUAUGGAAGGCACAGUAUAUAAUCCCAUUGCAGUGCCUUUACAUGAAAUAUACUGUUACCCCACAGCUGUGCCUUUACAGGGGACAUACUAUGUUACUUUACUUCAGUGCAUUUACAGAGGGAACAAUGUUAUCCCCUUCAGGGGACACAAUAUGUUACCCCACUGCAGUGCCUUUACAGGAGUAACACUGUUAACUCACACCAGUGCCUUACAGAGGUAACAAUGUUACCCCACACCAGUGCCUUUACAGGGAACACACUGUACCCCUACAACAGUGCCUUUAUAUAUGGAUCACAAUGUUACUUCAGUCCAGUGUUUUUUCAGGGAACAUAUUAUGUUAUCCCAGCCUCUGUACACUUGAUUCAAAAUGUUAGCCCAAUGUUCUCAAUCCAGUACCUUUAGCAAGGACUACAUACAUGUUAUCCUGCUACUGUUAGUACAUUUGAUUCUUAUCUCUGCAUAUGUUAGCCCACAUUAGCUCCAGAAUGGACAGCUCAACAUAUGUAAGCUGACACUAGGCCCAAUAUGGGUCAACCUGUGUUAGUCCACACCAAACCCACAAGAGAUGGCCCAACAUGUUAGCCCACACCAGGCUCAAUAUGAAUAAUCUAACAUAUAUUAGCCCACACCAGGUCCAGUAUGGAUGUCCCAACAUAUGUUAGCCCAGACCGGCCUAGUAUGAAUCAAACAACACCUGUUCGCCCAGUAUGGGUCAACCAACAUAUGUUAGCCUAGUAAGAAUGACAUAACAUCUUUAUCUCACACCAUACUCAGUAUGGAUGCCCCAAUUUAUGUUGACCCACAACAAACCCAAUAUGGAUGACUCGACAUAUGUUAGCCCAGACCAGGCCCAAUAUGGGUCAACUAACCUGUUAACCAAUACCAAGCCCAGUAAGGAUGACCAAACAUGUUAACCCACACCAGGCCCAGCAUGAGUCACACCAAGUGUUAACCCACCAAAAAAUCCGGGUCCAAUGAAACCCUAAAGUCAUUCUAUUUCGCUCCUUUUCUGAAAUAAAAGGGAAAGGAGGACUGAGAGGAUCCCAUUAAAUUCUAAAAUGACCCCAUCUAACAACAACAACAGCUAUCUUAUUAGCCCUAUUUUCUGCCGUUGCCAUAGCAACAUAGUCAUUAUUUUUUGUUUUGUUUUUUUGUUUCUUUUGUUGAUUUUUAAUGAAAUAAAAUAUUUAUUCAGCCGUAA